GUCGAGCGGUAGAGAGAAGCUUGCUUCUCUUGAGAGCGGCGGACGGGUGAGUAAUGCCUAGGAAUCUGCCUGGUAGUGGGGGAUAACGUUCGGAAACGGACGCUAAUACCGCAUACGUCCUACGGGAGAAAGCAGGGGACCUUCGGGCCUUGCGCUAUCAGAUGAGCCUAGGUCGGAUUAGCUAGUUGGUGAGGUAAUGGCUCACCAAGGCGACGAUCCGUAACUGGUCUGAGAGGAUGAUCAGUCACACUGGAACUGAGACACGGUCCAGACUCCUACGGGAGGCAGCAGUGGGGAAUAUUGGACAAUGGGCGAAAGCCUGAUCCAGCCAUGCCGCGUGUGUGAAGAAGGUCUUCGGAUUGUAAAGCACUUUAAGUUGGGAGGAAGGGUUGUAGAUUAAUACUCUGCAAUUUUGACGUUACCGACAGAAUAAGCACCGGCUAACUCUGUGCCAGCAGCCGCGGUAAUACAGAGGGUGCAAGCGUUAAUCGGAAUUACUGGGCGUAAAGCGCGCGUAGGUGGUUUGUUAAGUUGGAUGUGAAAUCCCCGGGCUCAACCUGGGAACUGCAUUCAAAACUGACUGACUAGAGUAUGGUAGAGGGUGGGUGGAAUUUCCUGUGUAGCGGUGAAAUGCGUAGAUAUAGGAAGGAACACCAGUGGCGAAGGCGACCACCUGGACUAAUACUGACACUGAGGUGCGAAAGCGUGGGGAGCAAACAGGAUUAGAUACCCUGGUAGUCCACGCCGUAAACGAUGUCAACUAGCCGUUGGAAGCCUUGAGCUUUUAGUGGCGCAGCUAACGCAUUAAGUUGACCGCCUGGGGAGUACGGCCGCAAGGUUAAAACUCAAAUGAAUUGACGGGGGCCCGCACAAGCGGUGGAGCAUGUGGUUUAAUUC
This 897-nucleotide ribosomal RNA is filed under the name Pseudomonas sp. MZ0481B. RNAcentral's name for it is "bacterial SSU rRNA". It matches the Rfam family "Bacterial small subunit ribosomal RNA", at positions 61 to 952 of the family's 1533-position model. Lineage: Bacteria; Pseudomonadati; Pseudomonadota; Gammaproteobacteria; Pseudomonadales; Pseudomonadaceae. The record is from RNAcentral.